UGAUAGCUGUGGUCGGAGAUUUCCUCCUCCAGAGGAGUUGUCUGGGGAGUCGUUGGAGAAACGGGUGGAGCUGCGGCGAGUGAACUGGGACUUGGUUGCCGAAGCAUCGGAGUUGUCCGUUGGGUCGAGGUCUUCUACUUGGGAUAUCCGAAGUUGGAAUGUGGAUUGACGAUGUCCAAGCAGAACCAGCGCGCUUGAGUCGAAGCUUGUCCUUGAAGGCUUUCCAAGAUCUUCCAAAUCAAUGAAAAUGAAACAGUGAGCUAUUAUUUCAGAAUCUUAAUUAUUAAGUUAGACUUUGUAAAUAAAUCAAAUAUUUUGUUCAGUUAGACAUGUAGAACAAAGUAGAAACAAUAAAAUUUACCUUUAAGGUUUGAAUAUUAAUCAUGACAUGGAUAAAAUAAGCCAAAAUUACCCUUCAACUUUA
Molecule: long non-coding RNA, 424 nt
Organism: Cicer arietinum (chickpea)
Lineage: Eukaryota; Viridiplantae; Streptophyta; Magnoliopsida; Fabales; Fabaceae
Source: RefSeq, a predicted model, not a curated record